This is a long non-coding RNA of Heteronotia binoei (common prickly gecko), 332 nucleotides long. RefSeq lists it as uncharacterized. NCBI's taxonomy places the organism in Eukaryota, Metazoa, Chordata, Lepidosauria, Squamata, Gekkonidae. The record is from RefSeq and is a predicted model, not a curated record. The transcript has 2 exons.
AGCUUUUCCUAUGGUGUGUCUUUUGGCAGAAGUGGAAAUGUUUUGGUUUGGUUAUUUGAGAGUGCAAGACAUUUAAUUUAUAUAUUAAAUGAGCAAGACUGAAUUAUUCUUACUCUCUUCACCUACUUUGUCUGCAGUGUCUAAACAAAGCAGUGUCACUGUGGUUGGUUGUGCUGCACACAGGUACAUAGUAUUAGACACUAGAGAAAGUUCCCUACAUAUACUUUUCCAACACCCCCUUUAGUAGACGCAAUUGAUGGUGCUCAGGUAUUUAACUCUGAGAUAUGCUUGACUGCAGUGCCAGUGGUCUUUGUUUUAGUAGCAGUUCAGUU